RNAcentral lists this transfer RNA (54 nucleotides) under Hammerschmidtiella sp. ZengetLiu-2016. RNAcentral's name for it is "tRNA-Arg". Lineage: Eukaryota; Metazoa; Nematoda; Chromadorea; Rhabditida; Thelastomatidae. The record is from RNAcentral.
AAACAUAAAAUAGAUUUACUAUACUUAUUUACGGCUUAAGGAGAUUUGUGUUUA